Long non-coding RNA from Mugil cephalus (flathead mullet), 1212 nucleotides. RefSeq lists it as uncharacterized. The record is from RefSeq and is a predicted model, not a curated record. Lineage: Eukaryota; Metazoa; Chordata; Actinopteri; Mugiliformes; Mugilidae. The transcript is spliced from 2 exons.
AUGACCUGCAGUGUUAAAUAUUUCUUGAUAUGCGUGUACAAGGGUGUUGGAAUUAUUGUACAUAAGUUAUCCCAUAUUUACUCUGAGUGUUUAUGUAUCUAUUAAUCUCCAGGUAGGCCAAUGUGCAACAGUAUAUGUCUGUAGAGUUGUUUUGCAGGAAGGAGAAGUGGAGAGACGUGAUUUCAUCCCGGAGCCAUCAGUGACAUGCAGGAAGUGCGUCUCCCCACAGAAAUAAGAUUGAAGACGGAGCAUACAGUCCUGAGGACAAGGUCGAAGCGAUUAAACAUGCACCAAGAAGAAGAUAGUGCUUGUAUCAUUAGAGAAGUUGCAGCUAUGUCUUCCCCUCCCCAUUAGUGCUGCAACUUUUGCUGUAACCAGGGACCACCCUAAAGAAAUAAAGAGAGGGUACGGCAAGGUUGCUGAACCUGACAUUUACUUGGUCCUUCAAGCCGGAUACCAACACGCCUGAGGAUUCCAGCAGGUGCGGUGAAAUCCAGGAAAGACCGUGGCCACGGCAAAACUCUGUUAGAGAGAGUUUCUCAGACCCUUUCCGGGACUGGAGAUCAGCCUGCCAGCUGGGAUCCGACGGCUGACAGUGGUGAGUGGAAUUUUACUUAAAAAUUGGCGAAUGACUGAGGGUCAUUGCGCGUAGAACAAACCCUGGAAAUCCUAGGCACUAGCAGGUACUGAAGGACGGCGGAGUCCGAGAAAUUCCGUGAUAAAGUAAAGGACGGCGGAGUCCACUAGCGCAGUUAAAUUCCGUAGUAUAAGUGAUAGGAUGUCGGAGUCCUGCAGUACGUACGCUUAAAUUCCGUGUUGAAAAAGGUGAGUGAUUGUGUGUGCAAGUGGAGAUUAAAAUACCACUAGGUGUUUUAUCUCAUACCAAAACAGUAGGAUUGUGAGUAGCGAGCCUCUUGUGGAUGCAAAGGCAAGAACUCUCCACUCGAAAAAAUUGAAGCGAGGGUUACCACAAAAGGCAGUUUGAUCGCUGCCCUACUGAAAACAACCCAGUUUUUAGAACACCCCAGGUGUUAAUAAACUGGACCAAAUUCUCUAAAAUGGGAAAAGGGGGAAGCAAAAUCGAUCCUAGAGAACAACUGCAGUCUAAAGAUUGGAAAUUUAUAGAAAAACAGGGCCCCGAUAAAAUAAAAUAUCUAGAUAAAUGGAUAAAAGUUUAUGGAUUCGAUGGCCGACUAAAUACUCCGAGAAUAA